CCUACGGGAGGCUGCAGUGGGGAAUUUUGGGCAAUGGGGGAAACCCUGACCCAGCAACGCCGCGUGAAGGAUGAAGUAUUUCGGUAUGUAAACUUCGAAAGAAUAGGAAGAAUCAAUGACGGUACUAUUUAUAAGGUCCGGCUAACUACGUGCCAGCAGCCGCGGUAAUACGUAGGGACCAAGCGUUGUUCGGAUUUACUGGGCGUAAAGGGCGCGUAGGCGGCUUGACAAGUCACUUGUGAAAUCUCCGGGCUUAACUCGGAACGGCCAAGUGAAACUGUCAUGCUAGAGUGCAGAAGGGGCAAUCGGAAUUCUUGGUGUAGCGGUGAAAUGCGUAGAUAUCAAGAGGAACACCUGAGGUGAAGACGGGUUGCUGGGCUGACACUGACGCUGAGGCGCGAAAGCCAGGGGAGCAAACGGGAUUAGAUACCCCAGUAGUC
This 440-nucleotide ribosomal RNA is filed under the name uncultured Acidobacteriota bacterium. Its description in RNAcentral is "bacterial SSU rRNA". It matches the Rfam family "Bacterial small subunit ribosomal RNA", at positions 338 to 795 of the family's 1533-position model. Lineage: Bacteria; Pseudomonadati; Acidobacteriota. The record is from RNAcentral.